UCCGCUUUACAGCGGCAGUUCGUUCCGAGUCCCCGACUUUACUCGCUGGUAACAGAACGUGAGGGUUGCGCUCGUUGCGGGACUUAACCCAACAUUUCACAACACGAGCUGACGACAGCCAUGCACCACCUGUGCACCACCCUCGAAGGCGGUGUUAUUUCUAACACGUGCAGGUGCAUGUCAAGCCCUGGUAAGGUUCUUCGCGUUGCAUCGAAUUAAGCCACAUGCUCCACCGCUUGUGCGGGCCCCCGCCAAUUCCUUUGAGUUUCAACCUUGCGGCCGUAGUUCCCAGGCGGUUCACUUAAUGCGUUAGCUGCGGCACCGAGGCAGAGCCCCAACACCUAGUGAACAUCGUUUAUGGCCAAGACUAC
RNAcentral lists this unclassified non-coding RNA (371 nucleotides) under uncultured bacterium. Its description in RNAcentral is "contains 16S-23S intergenic spacer region". The record is from RNAcentral.